Molecule: ribosomal RNA, 406 nt
Filed under: uncultured bacterium
Lineage: Bacteria
Description: partial 16S ribosomal RNA
Rfam family: Bacterial small subunit ribosomal RNA
Source: RNAcentral
AUUGAACGCUGGCGGCAGGCUUAACACAUGCAAGUCGAGCGAGCGGCGGACGGGUGAGUAAUGUCUGGGAAACUGCCUGAUGGAGGGGGAUAACUACUGGAAACGGUAGCUAAUACCGCAUACCAUCAGAUGAACCCAUAUGGGAUUAGCUUGUAGGUGAGGUAACGGCUCACCUAGGCGACGAUCCCUAGCUGGGCUGAGAGGGUGAUAGGGAACACUGGGACUGAGACACGGCCCAGACUCCUACGGGAGGCAGCAGUGGGGAAUAUGGGACAAUGGGCGAAAGCCGGAUAGAGCAAUGCCGCGUGUAGGAAGAAGGCCUUCGGGUUGUAAAGUUCUUUCGGUAGCGAGGCGUUAACUACAGAAGAAGCAACGGCUAACUACGUGCCAGCAGCCGCGGUAAUUC